Molecule: long non-coding RNA, 561 nt
Organism: Branchiostoma floridae (Florida lancelet)
Lineage: Eukaryota; Metazoa; Chordata; Leptocardii; Amphioxiformes; Branchiostomatidae
Exons: 3
Source: RefSeq, a predicted model, not a curated record
GGAUUCGAGGAAAUUCGUAUCUAAGACGUGUACGGCACGGGGAUAGGUCGGAUUUGUGGUGCAUCGUCGUAUUCGAGUAAGGAUUAUGGAUUUGUCCGGAUUCGCUCGGAAAUGUUCCGUAUUCUCCGUCGCACGAUUUCGGAUUCAUCAGGAUUCCAUGUCAUUUCGUGCAGUGCGAUUUGAUGCAAGAACAUCAGCGUAACAGCCUAAAGGCCACCAACUGGUACAUGCCAGUAGUCUCAUGGUUUCUUGCUAGCGUAGCAUACUGCUGUGCACAGCUGAGGUGUUUGGAAUAUUAUUUCUUCAAGAGAGGCCCUAUUUUUGAAACCUCAUGACUUAUACGCCUAAAGAUGGUGACAACGAAAAGGAUUUGUUUAGCUAGUUGCUUUCUCAUCAUGUAUCUUGGCCUAUCACAGAUUGUGUAUGAAAAGAUCAACAGCAAUGAACAGUUCCGGGCAACAUCAAUGAAAAAACGUGUUUUUACGAAUUCCCACCGAAACCUAAAAAAAAUUGCUGCAUGGAUAUGGUUACCACAGCAAAUAAUACACUGGUGUAUAUUUU